Molecule: ribosomal RNA, 564 nt
Filed under: Lactobacillus sp.
Lineage: Bacteria; Bacillati; Bacillota; Bacilli; Lactobacillales; Lactobacillaceae
Description: bacterial SSU rRNA
Rfam family: Bacterial small subunit ribosomal RNA
Source: RNAcentral
UCACAAUGGACGAAAGUCUGAUGGAGCAACGCCGCGUGAGUGAAGAAGGUUUUCGGAUCGUAAAACUCUGUUGUUGGAGAAGAACGUAUUUGAUAGUAACUGAUCAGGUAGUGACGGUAUCCAACCAGAAAGCCACGGCUAACUACGUGCCAGCAGCCGCGGUAAUACGUAGGUGGCAAGCGUUGUCCGGAUUUAUUGGGCGUAAAGCGAGCGCAGGCGGUUUCUUAAGUCUGAUGUGAAAGCCUUCGGCUCAACCGAAGAAGUGCAUCGGAAACUGGGAAACUUGAGUGCAGAAGAGGACAGUGGAACUCCAUGUGUAGCGGUGAAAUGCGUAGAUAUAUGGAAGAACACCAGUGGCGAAGGCGGCUGUCUGGUCUGUAACUGACGCUGAGGCUCGAAAGCAUGGGUAGCAAACAGGAUUAGAUACCCUGGUAGUCCAUGCCGUAAACGAUGAGUGCUAGGUGUUGGAGGGUUUCCGCCCUUCAGUGCCGCAGCUAACGCAUUAAGCACUCCGCCUGGGGAGUACGACCGCAAGGUUGAAACUCAAAGGAAUUGACGGGGCCC